RNAcentral lists this ribosomal RNA (392 nucleotides) under uncultured bacterium. RNAcentral's name for it is "bacterial SSU rRNA". It matches the Rfam family "Bacterial small subunit ribosomal RNA", at positions 524 to 916 of the family's 1533-position model. The record is from RNAcentral.
UACGUAGGGUGCGAGCGUUAAUCGGAAUUACUGGGCGUAAAGCGUGCGCAGACGGUUAUUUAAGUCGGAUGUGAAAGCCCCGGGCUCAACCUCGGAAUUGCAUUCGAGACUGAAUAGCUAGGGUACGGAAGAGGGAAGCGGAAUUUCCGGUGUAGCAGUGAAAUGCGUAGAUAUCGGAAGGAACAUCAGUGGCGAAGGCGGCUUCCUGGUCCAGUACCGACGUUCAGGCACGAAAGCGUGGGGAGCAAACAGGAUUAGAUACCCUGGUAGUCCACGCCGUAAACGAUGGAUGCUAGCCGUUAGGCAGCUUGCUGCUUAGUGGCGCAGCUAACGCUUUAAGCAUCCCGCCUGGGGAGUACGGUCGCAAGGUUGAAACUCAAAUGAAUUGACGG